Anguilla rostrata (American eel) is the source of this 274-nucleotide long non-coding RNA. RefSeq lists it as uncharacterized. NCBI's taxonomy places the organism in Eukaryota, Metazoa, Chordata, Actinopteri, Anguilliformes, Anguillidae. The record is from RefSeq and is a predicted model, not a curated record. The transcript is spliced from 2 exons.
CUGCAUUACUUCUGAGGUCUCAUACACACACACACACACUGCAUUACUUCUGAGGCCUCACACACACACUGCAUAACUACUGAGCUCAUACACACACUGCAUCUACUGAGCUCUCCAUGCAUGUACGCUGCUACUGCACUUUCUUAUACACUGCAUUACUUCUGAGGUCUCAUACACAUACACACUGCAUUACUUCUCAGGUCUCAUACACAUACACACUGCAUUACUUCUCAGGUCUCAUACACAUACACACUGCAUUACUUCUCAGGUCUCA